GCCGCUGUCUUUGGGGAGUAGUCGCCCGCAUCUCAGCGGGGUUCACGUCAACAGACUUGCCGGGUGACUGGCAUGGCGUGAACGGCCAAUUCGGCUUGGCGAGACCAGAGGUUGGCU
This 117-nucleotide small RNA is filed under the name Sphingobium sp. RNAcentral's name for it is "Manganese sequence". It matches the Rfam family "Manganese Mn2+ riboswitch aptamer (yybP-ykoY)". Rfam says of the family: This RNA was originally discovered in E. coli during a large scale screen and was named SraF. The record is from RNAcentral. Lineage: Bacteria; Pseudomonadati; Pseudomonadota; Alphaproteobacteria; Sphingomonadales; Sphingobiaceae.